GGAUUGUUAGAUUUUUGGACUGCCUUUGGCUGCAGAUCAUCGUCAGAUGUUUCAUAAAGCCUAAGAAAGAGUAAUAGCAUAAUAUAGCAUCUCUCUCACUCUAUUUACUCCUUUUUAAAUUUGCAGGUGCUAGUUCAUUUUUGUGAUAAGGUUUAGUUGUUCAUUUUUGUAGUACUGAUGACGGCGCUAUCAUCAUCUGGAAUUAAG
This 207-nucleotide unclassified non-coding RNA is filed under the name Hevea brasiliensis (rubber tree). The record is from RNAcentral. Lineage: Eukaryota; Viridiplantae; Streptophyta; Magnoliopsida; Malpighiales; Euphorbiaceae.